This 384-nucleotide ribosomal RNA is filed under the name uncultured bacterium. RNAcentral's name for it is "bacterial SSU rRNA". It matches the Rfam family "Bacterial small subunit ribosomal RNA", at positions 30 to 416 of the family's 1533-position model. The record is from RNAcentral.
AUUGAACGCUGGCGGAAUGCUUUACACAUGCAAGUCGAACGGUAACAGGUCUUCGGAUGCUGACGAGUGGCGAACGGGUGAGUAAUAUAUCGGAACGUGCCCAGUCGUGGGGGAUAACGUAGCGAAAGUUACGCUAAUACCGCAUACGAUCUAAGGAUGAAAGUGGGGGAUCGCAAGACCUCAUGCUCGUGGAGCGGCCGAUAUCUGAUUAGCUAGUUGGUAGGGUAAAAGCCUACCAAGGCUACGAUCAGUAGCUGGUCUGAGAGGACGAUCAGCCACACUGGGACUGAGACACGGCCCAGACUCCUACGGGAGGCAGCAGUGGGGAAUUUUGGACAAUGGGCGAAAGCCUGAUCCAGCCAUUCCGCGUGAGUGAAGAAGGCC